This 435-nucleotide ribosomal RNA is filed under the name uncultured bacterium. RNAcentral describes it as "partial 16S ribosomal RNA". It matches the Rfam family "Bacterial small subunit ribosomal RNA", at positions 29 to 507 of the family's 1533-position model. The record is from RNAcentral.
AGCGAACGCUGGCGGCAGGCUUAACACAUGCAAGUCGAGCGGGCGUAGCAAUACGUCAGCGGCAGACGGGUGAGUAACGCGUGGGAACGUACCUUUUGGUUCGGAACAACACAGGGAAACUUGUGCUAAUACCGGAUAAGCCCUUACGGGGAAAGAUUUAUCGCCGAAAGAUCGGCCCGCGUCUGAUUAGCUAGUUGGUGAGGUAACGGCUCACCAAGGCGACGAUCAGUAGCUGGUCUGAGAGGAUGAUCAGCCACAUUGGGACUGAGACACGGCCCAAACUCCUACGGGAGGCAGCAGUGGGGAAUAUUGGACAAUGGGGGCAACCCUGAUCCAGCCAUGCCGCGUGGGUGAUGAAGGCCCUAGGGUUGUAAAGCUCUUUUGUGCGGGAAGAUAAUGACGGUACCGCAAGAAUAAGCCCCGGCUAACUUCGUG